ACUACGGGAGGCAGCAGUGGGGAAUAUUGGGCAAUGGGCGCAAGCCUGACCCAGCAACGCCGCGUGAAGGAAGAAGGCUUUCGGGUUGUAAACUUCUUUUCUCAGGGACGAAGCAAGUGACGGUACCUGAGGAAUAAGCCACGGCUAACUACGUGCCAGCAGCCGCGGUAAUACGUAGGUGGCAAGCGUUAUCCGGAUUUACUGGGUGUAAAGGGCGUGUAGGCGGGAAAGCAAGUCAGAUGUGAAAACCAUGGGCUCAACCUGUGGCCUGCAUUUGAAACUGUUUUUCUUGAGUACUGGAGAGGCAGACGGAAUUCCUAGUGUAGCGGUGAAAUGCGUAGAUAUUAGGAGGAACACCAGUGGCGAAGGCGGUCUGCUGGACAGCAACUGACGCUGAGGCGCGAAAGCGUGGGGAGCAAACAGGAUUAGAUACCCUAGUAGUC
This 443-nucleotide ribosomal RNA is filed under the name uncultured bacterium. RNAcentral's name for it is "partial 16S ribosomal RNA". It matches the Rfam family "Bacterial small subunit ribosomal RNA", at positions 338 to 795 of the family's 1533-position model. The record is from RNAcentral.